RNAcentral lists this ribosomal RNA (1001 nucleotides) under uncultured Actinomycetes bacterium. RNAcentral's name for it is "bacterial SSU rRNA". It matches the Rfam family "Bacterial small subunit ribosomal RNA", at positions 505 to 1501 of the family's 1533-position model. The record is from RNAcentral. Lineage: Bacteria; Bacillati; Actinomycetota; Actinomycetes.
GUGCAGCAGCCGCGGKAAUACGUAGGUGCGAGCGUUGUCCGGAAUUAUUGGGCGUAAAGGGCUCGUAGGCGGUCCGUCGCGUCGGGAGUGAAAACUCAGGGCUUAACCCUGAGCCUGCUUCCGAUACGGGCGGACUAGAGGUAGGUAGGGGAGAACGGAAUUCCUGGUGUAGCGGUGGAAUGCGCAGAUAUCAGGAGGAACACCGAUGGCGAAGGCAGUUCUCUGGGCCUUACCUGACGCUGAGGAGCGAAAGCGUGGGGAGCGAACAGGAUUAGAUACCCUGGUAGUCCACGCCGUAAACGUUGGGCGCUAGGUGUGGGACUCAUUCCACGAGUUCCGUGCCGCAGCUAACGCAUUAAGCGCCCCGCCUGGGGAGUACGGCCGCAAGGCUAAAACUCAAAGGAAUUGACGGGGGCCCGCACAAGCGGCGGAGCAUGCGGAUUAAUUCGAUGCAACGCGAAGAACCUUACCUGGGUUUGACAUAUGCCGUUUACCCGUAGAGAUGCGGGGUCAUUUAGGUGGCGGUAUACAGGUGGUGCAUGGCUGUCGUCAGCUCGUGUCGUGAGAAGUUGGGUUAAGUCCCGCAACGAGCGCAACCCUCGUCCUAUGUUGCCAGCACGUGAUGGUGGGAACUCAUAGGAGACUGCCGGGGUCAACUCGGAGGAAGGUGGGGAUGACGUCAAGUCAUCAUGCCCCUUAUGUCCAGGGCUUCACGCAUGCUACAAUGGCCGGUACAAAGGGCUGCGAUGCCGCAAGGUGGAGCGAAUCCCAAAAAGCCGGUCUCAGUUCGGAUUGGGGUCUGCAACUCGACCCCAUGAAGUCGGAGUCGCUAGUAAUCGCAGWUCAGCAACGCUGCGGUGAAUACGUUCCCGGGCCUUGUACACACCGCCCGUCACGCUCACGAAAGUCGGCAACACCCGAAGCCGGUGGCCUAACCCCUUGUGGGAUGGAGCCGUCGAAGGUGGGGCUGGCGAUUGGGACGAAGCCGUAACAAGGUAACC